UGGGGAAUUUUGGACAAUGGGCGAAAGCCUGAUCCAGCAAUGCCGCGUGUGUGAAGAAGGCCUUCGGGUUGUAAAGCACUUUUGUCCGGAAAGAAAUCCUUGGCUCUAAUACAGUCGGGGGAUGACGGUACCGGAAGAAUAAGCACCGGCUAACUACGUGCCAGCAGCCGCGGUAAUACGUAGGGUGCAAGCGUUAAUCGGAAUUACUGGGCGUAAAGCGUGCGCAGGCGGUUUGCUAAGACCGAUGUGAAAUCCCCGGGCUCAACCUGGGAACUGCAUUGGUGACUGGCAGGCUAGAGUAUGGCAGAGGGGGGUAGAAUUCCACGUGUAGCAGUGAAAUGCGUAGAGAUGUGGAGGAAUACCGAUGGCGAAGGCAGCCCCCUGGGCCAAUACUGACGCUCAUGCACGAAAGCGUGGGGAGCAAACAGGAUUAGAUACCCUGGUAGUCCACGCCCUAAACGAUGUCAACUAGUUGUUGGGGAUUCAUUUCUAGUAACGUAGCUAACGCGUGAAGUUGACCGCCU
This 524-nucleotide ribosomal RNA is filed under the name uncultured bacterium. Its description in RNAcentral is "partial 16S ribosomal RNA". It matches the Rfam family "Bacterial small subunit ribosomal RNA", at positions 355 to 874 of the family's 1533-position model. The record is from RNAcentral.